RNAcentral lists this ribosomal RNA (495 nucleotides) under uncultured bacterium. Its description in RNAcentral is "partial 16S ribosomal RNA". It matches the Rfam family "Bacterial small subunit ribosomal RNA", at positions 28 to 507 of the family's 1533-position model. The record is from RNAcentral.
GACGAACGCUGGCGGCGUGCCUAAUACAUGCAAGUCGAACGCUGAAGGAGGAGCUUGCUUCUCUGGAUGAGUUGCGAACGGGUGAGUAACGCGUAGGUAACCUGCCUGGUAGCGGGGGAUAACUAUUGGAAACGAUAGCUAAUACCGCAUAAGAGUAGAUGUUGCAUGACAUUUUCUUAAAAGUUGUAAGUGUUUCAUUACCUGACGGACUUGCGUUGUAUUAGUUAGUUGGUGGGGUAACGGCGCACCAAGGCGAGGUUACAUAGCCGACCUGAGAGGGUGGUCAGCCGCACUGAGAGGGUGACACGGCCCAGUGGCCUACAGGAGGCAGCAGUAGGGAAUCUUCGGGAAUGGGCGGAAGUCUGACCGAGCAACGCCGCGGGAGUAAGGAGGGUUGUCGGGUCGGGAAGCUCGGUUGUCAGAGAGGAACGAGUGUGCGGGUGGAAAGUACACACUGUGACGGUACCUGAACAGAAAGCGACGGCUAACUACGUG